This 397-nucleotide ribosomal RNA is filed under the name uncultured bacterium. RNAcentral's name for it is "partial 16S ribosomal RNA". It matches the Rfam family "Bacterial small subunit ribosomal RNA", at positions 523 to 918 of the family's 1533-position model. The record is from RNAcentral.
AUACGUAGGUGACAAGCGUUAUCCGGAUUUACUGGGCGUAAAGGGCGUGUAGGCGGUCUUGCAAGUCAGAAGUGAAAUUCCUGAGCUCAACUCGGGCGCUGCUUCUGAAACUGCAGGACUUGAGUGCUGGAGGGGAUAGCGGAAUUCCUGGUGGGGCGGUAAAAUGCGCAGAUAUUAGGAAGAACACCGGUGGCUAAGGCGGCUAUCUGGACUGUAACUGACGCUGAGGCUCGAAAGCGUGGGGAGCACACAGGAUUAGAUUCCCUGGUGGUCCACGCCGUAAACGAUGAAUACUAGGUGUAGGGGGUAUCGACUCCCUCUGUGCCGCAGUUAACACAAUAAGUAUUCCGCCUGGGGAGUACGGCCGCAAGGUUGAAACUCAAAGGAAUUGACGGGG